This 498-nucleotide ribosomal RNA is filed under the name uncultured bacterium. RNAcentral describes it as "partial 16S ribosomal RNA". It matches the Rfam family "Bacterial small subunit ribosomal RNA", at positions 28 to 507 of the family's 1533-position model. The record is from RNAcentral.
GACGAACGCUGGCGGCGUGCCUAAUACAUGCAAGUCGAGCGGACGGAUGGGAGCUUGCUCCCAGACCGUCAGCGGCGGACGGGUGAGUAACACGUGGGCAACCUGCCUGUAAGACUGGGAUAACUCCGGGAAACCGGGGCUAAUACCGGAUAACUCUUUCCCUCACAUGAGGGAAAGCUGAAAGAUGGCAUCUCGCUAUCACUUACAGAUGGGCCCGCAGCGCAUUAGCUAGUUGGUGAGGUAACGGCUCACCAAGGCGACGAUGCGUAGCCGACCUGAGAGGGUGAUCGGCCACACUGGGACUGAGACACGGCCCAGACUCCUACGGGAGGCAGCAGUAGGGAAUCUUCCGCAAUGGACGAAAGUCUGACGGAGCAACGCCGCGUGAGUGAUGAAGGUUUUCGGAUCGUAAAACUCUGUUGUCAGGGAAGAACAAGUACCGGAGUAACUGCCGGUACCUUGACGGUACCUGACCAGAAAGCCACGGCUAACUACGUG